GCCUGGGUGGCUCAGUUGGUUAAGCAUCUGACUUCGGCUCAGGUCAUGAUCUCGUGGUUUGUGGGUUCAAUCCCCGCAUCAGGCU
Transfer RNA from Felis catus (domestic cat), 85 nucleotides. It matches the Rfam family "tRNA". From Rfam's summary of the family: Transfer RNA (tRNA) molecules are approximately 80 nucleotides in length. Their secondary structure includes four short double-helical elements and three loops (D, anti-codon, and T loops). Lineage: Eukaryota; Metazoa; Chordata; Mammalia; Carnivora; Felidae. The record is from Rfam.